AAGAAAGGCUCUCUCAGACAAAUAGAGAAAAACACAGAUGGAACCUUUACAACUAAAAUCCAGGAGACCAUUACUCUGUCAGACACACAUGAUGGAUACAUAAUCAGAUGUUUCACCAGAAAUCCUGCGGCUGAAAUAAGCGACAUAGCAAAGACAGAAGUGACUCUCAGGGUUUCAUAUGCUCCUAGAAACACCUCAGCAUCCAUCAGUCCAUCAGGUUUGGUGUCAGAAGGUAGCUGGGUGGAGCUGAACUGCUCCAGCAAAGCCAACCCUCCACCCAGAUUCACCUGGUUCAAGAAAGGCCCAGAAAGACUCACUAAAGCAGCUACAGGCAUCUUUCACAAGGUUAAAUUCACUCAGGGCGAUCAGUACUUCUGUGUAGCUUCCAAUAAGCUGGGUAAACAGAAAUCAUCACCGAUCAAUCUCAGAACAAAAAGUACAAACGGAGUUGGAGCCUGGAUUUUCGUAGUAAUAGGGGGCGUGGGAUUGGUAGUUCUUGGCGGUGCAGUCUUCGUCAUUGACAGCUGCAUCAAUCGCUCCUAAUCUAGUCAAGCUCUUGAGUUGUGCUUGUGUGCAACACUAAAAAUAAAAUGCUGCAACUCGA
Poecilia latipinna (sailfin molly) is the source of this 604-nucleotide long non-coding RNA. RefSeq lists it as uncharacterized. The record is from RefSeq and is a predicted model, not a curated record. Lineage: Eukaryota; Metazoa; Chordata; Actinopteri; Cyprinodontiformes; Poeciliidae. The transcript has 4 exons.